GAUGAACGCUGGCGGCGUGCCUAAUACAUGCAAGUCGAGCGAACGGACGAGAAGCUUGCUUUUCUGAUGUUAGCGGCGGACGGGUGAGUAACACGUGGAUAACCUACCUAUAAGACUGGGAUAACUUCGGGAAACCGGAGCUAAUACCGGAUAAUAUUUUGAACCGCAUGGUUCAAAAGUGAAAGACGGUCUUGCUGGCACUUAUAGAUGGAUCCGCGCUGCAUUAGCUAGUUGGUAAGGUAACGGCUUACCAAGGCAACGAUGCAUAGCCGACCUGAGAGGGUGAUCGGCCACACUGGAACGGGGACACGGUCCAGACUCCUACGGGAGGCAGCAGUAGGGAAUCUUCCGCAAUGGGCGAAAGCCUGACGGAGCAACGCCGCGUGAGUGAUGAAGGUCUUCGGAUCGUAAAACUCUGUUAUUAGGGAAGAACAUAUGUGUAAGUAACUGUGCACAUCUUGACGGUACCUAAUCAGAAAGCCACGGCUAACUACGUG
RNAcentral lists this ribosomal RNA (497 nucleotides) under uncultured bacterium. RNAcentral's name for it is "partial 16S ribosomal RNA". It matches the Rfam family "Bacterial small subunit ribosomal RNA", at positions 28 to 507 of the family's 1533-position model. The record is from RNAcentral.